UUUUAUCCCUUUUCGAUGCACUUAACUCUAAAGAUCAAAUUGGUUCAGUGCUUCAAUUGCAGGUAAUUGCAAUUUCUCUUCUUUUCUUGCUCUAUUCGGUUUUAGGCUUAAUGACCCACUUAAAAAAAUCUUAUCUUUUACCUUCCAAGAUCCUCAAUAUGCUUUGCCUUUUUGCUUUUGCUGAGGAAUUUUUGCUUUUUUACCUUCAAAAGAAAGACCCAAGUGGAGUUGAGAAUCGUUACUAUGAUCUCUUGCUUGUGCCUAUUACUAUUUGUGCAUUUUGUUCAAUUCUUGAAUUGAAAAAUCCCAAAUUGAAAUAUGCUAAAUUGGGACGUGGGAUUGGGUUAAUCUUGCAAGGGAUGUGGAUUCUGCAAAUGGGGUUUUCUUUUUUCUCUGAUUUGAUAGCACAAGGUUGCUCUUUGCAUGAAAAGAGUAGAGGUAAUUAUACGGUUAAGUGUAAAGGUCAUCCCGAGUACCAUCGUGGUCGAGCUAUUGCUACCCUUCAGUUCAAUUGUCACCUUGCUCUUCUUGUGACUGUUAUUGCUUUUGUAUACUCAAUUGUGUGUAAAAAGAAUGGUAUUGGCCGUGAACAUAUGCGGUAUAGACCUAUUGGAGUUGAGAUGCAACACUUGGAAAUGGAUAGU
This 644-nucleotide long non-coding RNA is filed under the name Nicotiana tabacum (common tobacco). RNAcentral describes it as "long non-coding RNA (NTAB_LNC004632)". The record is from RNAcentral. Lineage: Eukaryota; Viridiplantae; Streptophyta; Magnoliopsida; Solanales; Solanaceae.